AGAGUUUGAUCCUGGCUCAGAGCGAACGCUGGCGGCAGGCCUAACACAUGCAAGUCGAGCGCCCCGCAAGGGGAGCGGCAGACGGGAGAGUAACACGUGGGAACGUGCCCUUCAGUUCGGAACAACCCAGGGAAACUUGGGCUAAUACCGGAUACGUCCGUAAGGAGAAAGAUUUAUCGCUGAAGGAUCGGCCCGCGUCUGAUUAGCUAGUUGGUGAGGUAACGGCUCACCAAGGCGACGAUCAGUAGCUGGUCUGAGAGGAUGAUCAGCCUCACUGGGACUGAGACACGGCCCAGACUCCUACGGGAGGCAGCAGUGGGGAAUAUUGGACAAUGGGCGCAAGCCUGAUCCAGCCAUGCCGCGUGGAUGAUGAAGGCCCUAGGGUUGUAAAGUCCUUUCGGCGGGGAAGAUAAUGACGGUACCCGCAGAAGAAGCCCCGGCUAACUUCGUGCCAGCAGCCGCGGUAAUACGAAGGGGGCUAGCGUUGCUCGGAAUCACUGGGCGUAAAGCGCACGUAGGCGGCUUUUUAAGUCAGGGGUGAAAUCCUGGAGCUCAACUCCAGAACUGCCCUUGAUACUGAGAAGCUUGAGUCCGGGAGAGGUGAGUGGAACUGCGAGUGUAGAGGUGAAAUUCGUAGAUAUUCGCAAGAACACCAGUGGCGAAGGCGGCUCACUGGCCCGGUACUGACGCUGAGAUGCGAAAGCGUGGGGAGCAAACAGGAUUAGAUACCCUGGUAGUCCACGCCUUAAACGAUGGAUGCUAGCCGUUGUCGGGUUUACUCGUCAGUGGCGCAGCUAACGCAUUAAGCAUCCCCGCCUGGGGAGUACGGUCGCAGAUUAAAACUCAAAGGAAUUGACGGGGCCCGCACAAGCCGGUGGGAGCAUGGUGGUUCAAUUCGAAGCAACGCCGAGAACCCUUACCAGCUCUCUGGACAAUGGUCCCC
This 943-nucleotide ribosomal RNA is filed under the name uncultured bacterium. RNAcentral's name for it is "bacterial SSU rRNA". It matches the Rfam family "Bacterial small subunit ribosomal RNA", at positions 8 to 997 of the family's 1533-position model. The record is from RNAcentral.